UACGUAGGGCGCAAGCGUUGUCCGGAAUUAUUGGGCGUAAAGAGCUCGUAGGCGGUUUGUCGCGUCUGCUGUGAAAACCUAAGGCUCAACCUUGGGCUUGCAGUGGGUACGGGCAGACUAGAGUGCGGUAGGGGUGACUGGAAUUCCUGGUGUAGCGGUGGAAUGCGCAGAUAUCAGGAGGAACACCGAUGGCGAAGGCAGGUCACUGGGCCGCAAACUG
RNAcentral lists this ribosomal RNA (220 nucleotides) under uncultured bacterium. Its description in RNAcentral is "partial 16S ribosomal RNA". It matches the Rfam family "Bacterial small subunit ribosomal RNA", at positions 524 to 742 of the family's 1533-position model. The record is from RNAcentral.